This 402-nucleotide ribosomal RNA is filed under the name Triticum aestivum (bread wheat). Its description in RNAcentral is "partial small subunit ribosomal RNA". Lineage: Eukaryota; Viridiplantae; Streptophyta; Magnoliopsida; Poales; Poaceae. The record is from RNAcentral.
GAUGUUCAGAGUUGUACUAAUUACCGUGGAAUUAAGCUGAUGAGCCAUACAAUGAAGCUAUGGGAGAGAGUCAUUGAGCACCGCUUAAGAAGAAUGACAAGCGUGACCAAAAAUCAGUUUGGUUUCAUGCCUGGGAGGUCGACCAUGGAAGCCAUUUUCUUGGUACGACAACUUAUGGAGAGAUAUAGGGAGCAAAAGAAGGAAUUGCAUAUGGUGUUCAUUGACUUGGAGAAGGCCUAUGAUAAGAUACCGCGGAAUGUCAUGUGGUGGGCCUUGGAGAAACACAAAUUCCCAGCAAAGUACAUUACCCUCAUCAAGGACAUGUACGAUAAUGUUGUGACAAGUGUUCGAACAAGUGAUGUCGACACCGAUGACUUCCCGAUUAAGAUAGGACUGCAUCAG